This 875-nucleotide long non-coding RNA is filed under the name Homo sapiens (human). RNAcentral describes it as "HSALNT0185432". The record is from RNAcentral. Lineage: Eukaryota; Metazoa; Chordata; Mammalia; Primates; Hominidae.
UUGGAUCUCAACCCCAGGGCUAGGUGCCUCCUCCCGCUGCUUUCCGCCAGGACUGGGCACCGCGGAUUAGGGGGCGGCGCUCGUCGGGCAGGCUCCGGCCGCGUAGGAGCCCAUGGCUGGGGCGCCGGCGGGCGGCUCAGUCAUGGCGGGCUGAAUAAAGUCUGACUGCCUGGUGGGCAGAUCACGAGGUCGGGAGAUCGAGACCAUCCUGGCUAACACGGUGAAACCCCGUCUCUACUAAAAAUACAAAAAAAAAAAAAUUAGCCGGGCGUGGUGGUGGGUGCCUGUAGUCUCACCUACUUGGGAGGCUGAGGCAGGAGAAUGGCGUGAACCUGGGAGGCGGAGCUUGCAGUGAGCAUGGAGAGUGAGGAGAUUUUACCUGAUAUGGUCCUGUUUGCACCGUCAGCCAGCAACCUUUCUGGGAAGCAUGCUUAUUAUGUACCAACAUAGAAGCUUGAAUAUAAGAAAACUUAAAAGCAAAUACAACAAAAACAAAUAUAAAUAGAUGAGACUUAAUUAAACUAAAAAAGCUUCUGCACAGAAAAAGAAAUAAUCAGCAGAGUAAACAACCCACAGAGUGGAAGAAAAUAUUUGCAAACUACGCAUCCAACAAAGGACUAAUAUGUAGAAUCUACCAGGAACUCAAACCAGCAAGAAAAAAACAAUUCCAUCAAAAAGAGGGUUAAGGACAUGAAUAGACAAUUCUUAAAAGAAGAUAUACAAAUGGCCAUCAAACAUGUGAGAAAAUGCUCAAUAUCACUAUCAGGGAAAUGCAAAUCAAAACCACAGAUACCACCUUACUUCUGCAAGAAUGUCCAAAAUUUAAAAAUCAAAAAACAAUAGAUGUUGGUGUGGAUGUGGUGAAAAGGAAACAC